UGGCAUGGCGUCUGUGCUGCUGAGUGUCUCUCCUUUGUUUGGAUUAUUUGUUGUUCUUCGAGAGGUAGAUGGUUCUCCAGACGGCACCUUCGACAUUACAAACUAUUAGCUCCCUUGGUAUAGUGGAACGAGUUUUCACAGUGCUAUGGCAGACAAUAAAAUUUAAGCACCCGUUUGAAUCUCUCAGCCUCAUUCAUUGAAUCCAAGGGUCCACUACAGGACACAU
Molecule: long non-coding RNA, 226 nt
Organism: Neoarius graeffei (lesser salmon catfish)
Lineage: Eukaryota; Metazoa; Chordata; Actinopteri; Siluriformes; Ariidae
Exons: 3
Source: RefSeq, a predicted model, not a curated record